UACAGAGGGUGCAAGCGUUGUUCGGAAUCAUUGGGCGUAAAGGGCGUGUAGGCGGUCUGUUAAGUCAUGUGUGAAAUCCCUCGGCUCAACCGGGGAACGACGCAUGAAACUGACAAGCUAGAGUACCAAAGAGGGGGGUGGAAUUCCUGGUGUAGCGGUGAAAUGCGCAGAUAUCAGGAGGAACACCGGUGGCGAAGGCGCCACUCUGGGCCGGUACUGACGCUGAGGCGCGAAAGCUAGGGGAGCAAACGGG
RNAcentral lists this ribosomal RNA (253 nucleotides) under uncultured bacterium. RNAcentral's name for it is "partial 16S ribosomal RNA". It matches the Rfam family "Bacterial small subunit ribosomal RNA", at positions 524 to 776 of the family's 1533-position model. The record is from RNAcentral.